This is a long non-coding RNA of Betta splendens (Siamese fighting fish), 429 nucleotides long. RefSeq lists it as uncharacterized. The transcript has 2 exons. The record is from RefSeq and is a predicted model, not a curated record. Lineage: Eukaryota; Metazoa; Chordata; Actinopteri; Anabantiformes; Osphronemidae.
CACCAGUAGUAAAGUGCUUUCAGCCAGUUAACGCCAGGCUGCGGAAACAGGCUUGUGUGACUGCUACAGGAACCUAACGCUCGGCUCGACCAAUAAUGACAGUUCUAGCUUUAGCGAAACAACGGACAUCGUCAUGUGACGAAUAACGGACUGAGCUAACAGACUGCUUCCCCUCCAAAGAUCGUCUAAUCAUAUGACGACUCAGAAUUCGGAAAAAACGGGACCGACGCUCUGGCUGUGACAGCAGAGGAGCCUCAAUCAGUGCAGCCCAUCCUUACAUCCAUAAAUUACUUAUUAUGAUGUCAUACACUAAAAAAUAAUAUUUUUUCCAUUUAUGCUUUGAUCUAUUGACCACCAAGCCAAGAAUAAAAUGCAGUUUAACAUAAUUUGUAACAAGUGUACAAAUAAUAAUAAAAACAUAAAACAACA